AUAUAUAUAUAUAUAUAUAUACGUAUAAAUUUUUAUAAAUUUUCAUAAUUGAUCAAACAGUAUUAAUAAUAAAAUGAUGCCGUUUUAUGAAUCUGAUAAAUUGACAGAGGAUAAAUCAUUUAAUGAUGGGGAAUUUACAUUAUAUGUAAAUAAUUUACCUACAGAAUUAAAUAAGCAUGGAUUAUUACAAAUUUUCAAUCACUAUGGACAAAUCAAAGAAUAUUUUUAUCGUCCAAAUACUAAUUGGGCUUAUAUUAGUUAUAAUACAUAUCGAGAAGCAGAAAAUGCUAUAAAAGAUUUACAUAAUAUACCACCAUUACAUUUAAAAGUAUCAUUUGCCAAAGAAAAAGAUUUUAAUGGAAUUCAAUCUAUAAAAACAUCUACUUCUAAAAACAUUGAAGAAGAAAGUGAAAAUGUUAGUUCAAUACCUAUUACAUUAAUAGAUAAGGAAUUGAUACAAACAAGAGGACGAGGCAAACCCUUAGAUAUAUUUAAAAAAGUUCAACCAAAUCCAGGAUUACCAAAGUACAGUUAUACACCAGAUAAUGAUUUAUUGUAUCCAUAUCCUUCUGAACCAUAUACAUAUAAUCCAUAUGAAAAUGCAGAACCUUAUACAAAUACAAAUACAUUAUGGACAAGAGGACAAUUAACCAUUACUCCAGAUGGUAAGAGACAUGUUUCACUUGGUCGAGGCUAUACAUUAUAUGAAAUUCCAGAGUCUAAUCCUGAAAUUCAUAAUCAUAUUAACAAAGUAUAUGAAAAACGUAACUCUGGUUUAUAUGAAUAUGGAAAAGAUAUGUUACAAAAUGCAAUUGGAACAUGUAAAAUAUGUUUGAAAAAGACAAAAUAUACUUGUGAAAAAUGCCACACAUUUUAUUGUAGUAGAAAUUGUCAAGUAGCUGAUUGGUCACAACAUAAAAUAGAAUGUCAAGCUAUACCAGCUUUAGUAACAUCUAUACAUUCUAUGUCUACUUUUCAAUCAAAUAAUGAAGAACAAAUAUCUACUAGAAAUAUUUCUCAUAUUCAAAUACCUCUACGACGACCAAAAAAAUUAAUAAAGACAAUAACAAAUUCGAAUGAAAUUUCUAAUACUGUUUCAGAAAAUAAAGAUAUGAGUAAUAUAUCUGGUACAAUUAAUAACAAUAAUGAAAGUAAUAAUGAUUCAAAACAUUUAAAUACAAAAACUAUUAAUCAACAAAAGACAUAUAAGAAAAAUGAAAUAAUCAUUGAAGAAAAUAAUUCUUUUUUAUGUAAACAAUCAAUUAAUGAAAUUUUUAACAAUAAUAUUAAAAACAUAGAAGAAAUAGAUAGUCAAGAAAAUGUUAGAAAAUGGCAAAAAUUUAAUGAAAACGAUGUAACAAUGAUGGAAAAUGAAAUAUCUUUUUAUAACAAUACAUUUCUAUCCAAAACAAAAUUUACUGAUGUAACAAUAAUAAUGAAGGAAGCUUGUGAAUAUUGGGUCCAAAAAGUAGAAGAUCAGAAUUCUAUUUCUCAAUUAAUGACUGAAUUACAAAAAGAAGCACAAAAUGCACAAAAAGUAGAACCAGUAAUCGGAAAUAUUUGUGCUAUAGAAUAUGAAGGUGUAUGGCAUAGAGCUGUAGUUACAUGUUUAAAUCCCGUAAAAGUACAUUAUAUAGAUUAUGGUAAUGAAGAAAUUGCUCAAACAAAUGAUUUUCGUAAAAUUGAUAAAUAUAGGAACAUUCCAAAAUUUUGUACUAAAAUUCGAUUAUCACAAAAAGCAUAUGAAAAAUAUAAAAAUCUCAAAUUUGAGGAUGUAAUAAGUGUGAAAAUGAUAUCUAUUGAUGCUAAUAAAAUUAUUAAUGUCGAAGUUCAAAAUGAAAACGAUAUUUCAAGUUUAGAAAUAAUUAAAAAAAACAGCAAUCCAAAAAUGGACAUUUCAACCAAUGUAAAAAUUGAUAAAAAUGUGGUUUCUUCAAAAAUAGUAACUGAUAAUAAACUAUCAAGUUCUUUGAACAAAGUAAAAAGUAUAGUAAAUGCAGUAUCUGUUGGAGAAAAUGGUAUUCUAGAAAUUCAUGCAGAAAUAAAAAAUGAUACUUAUAGUAUUACAUUACUGCCUAAUAAUGCAAUACCUGAUUAUGAAAAAUUAUUAACAGAAUUACCUAUAAUGUGUGCAAAAGCAGAAUAUUCAAAUCAUAAACCAAAUGUGGGAGAUUUAAUAUGUGGUCAAAGAUUUGAUGGUGAUUGGCUUAGAGGUUAUAUUUUAUCUCUUAUACCACCUUUAAAAAUGGUUAUAAUAGAUGAAGCUAGAAUAAUGCCAAUUAAUAAAACUGUAACAUGUGAUAAAACUUUUUCAAAUAUUUAUGCAUUUGGUGCAAUAUGUGAAAUAAUUGAUACUAAACAUAAAUUUAAGGAAGGUGAUCAUUAUGAAUUUAAAGUGAUAGCACAAAACAUUAAUGAACAACAUGAAAUUGAAAUAGAAAUUUCGAAUAUUUCGAAAAGUCAAGAUAAAUUAAAAGCUAUUGUAAAACCUUGGAUACCAAUGCCUGAACAAAAAGGAUUACAAUAUGCUGAAUUGAAGAGUGGAUCUGAGGUAUGCCUUACUUCUUAUCGAAGUCACAAUGUUUUAUAUGCUCGUUCUUUAGAUACUGCAGAAUUAGAACAUUAUAAUUAUGUUAUGCAAAAUAUUGCAAAAUGCGCUCAAACAUCUCCAUUUUUUAAAAAACCGCCAGUUGUAGGAGAAAUGGUAAUUGCUAAAUUUGCCGAUGAAAAUUAUUAUCGUGCAAUUGUUACUAAAGUACAGGACAAUGAAAUUGUAAUUUCAUAUAUUGAUUUUGGUAAUACAGAAGUUACCAAUAUAAAAAAACUUAAAAUUUUAUCUGACAAUUUAAAACAGCUUCGAUCUUGUACAACAAAGAUUGUCUUAAAAGAUGUUCCUAUAGAUAUUCCUAUGACAAAAGAAGUAAGUGAUUAUCUAAAUUAUUUAACAGGAACUGAAGUUCCUUUAUUAUGUACAUUUGAUGGUAUACCUUCCAAAGAUGGUGUAUAUCUUAAACUUCAUAAUGGAGAAAAUGUUAAUAAAGUAAUAAGUGAAUUACUUGUACCUACAUUAAAAAAAAUUGAAGAAGACAAAACAUGUUAUAUGGCGGGUGAUUUAAGUACUAUUGACUUGGGAAAUAUUGGUGAUACUGUUGAAGCACUUGUAUUAUAUCCUAUUGAUGACAGUUAUAAAUAUGCAAUGUGUCCUUUAGAUUAUGAUCUAAUGACUCAUGUUUUUGAUAUAAUGCCAAAAAAAGAUGACUGAAUAUUGUGAAGCAAAUGAUUACUAUAUUCCUCGUGAUACUGAACUUUGUCUUGCUUUUUAUGAUGGUGGAUGGUAUCGUGCCAUAUGUAUAAGUCGUAGCUAUACUCCUACAACAAGUGCUGUAUUUUUUGUUGAUUUUGGAAAUACUGAAUUUAUUGAUCAUAAAGAUAUACGACUUAUGCCAAAAGAUUUUAUGAGUCCUCAUGCACUUGCAAAUAUUUGUAAUAUUAUUAAUGUUGCAGCUAUUAAUGACAAUGGACAAUAUUCUACCGAAAUAGAAGAAAGAAUCAAAGAAUUAGUUGUUCCUGAUAAUUGUAUUAAAAUAAAAAUUAUUGAUCAUGAUUUGGAA
This 3611-nucleotide unclassified non-coding RNA is filed under the name Apis florea (little honeybee). Its description in RNAcentral is "uncharacterized LOC100873017, transcript variant X2". Lineage: Eukaryota; Metazoa; Arthropoda; Insecta; Hymenoptera; Apidae. The record is from RNAcentral.